GCUUUCUUAGCUCAGUCGGUUAGAGCGUGGUGCUAAUAACGCCAAGGUCACAGGUUCGACCCCUGUAGGGAGCA
RNAcentral lists this transfer RNA (74 nucleotides) under Furculomyces boomerangus. It matches the Rfam family "tRNA". From Rfam's summary of the family: Transfer RNA (tRNA) molecules are approximately 80 nucleotides in length. The record is from Rfam by way of RNAcentral. Lineage: Eukaryota; Fungi; Kickxellomycota; Harpellomycetes; Harpellales; Harpellaceae. RNAcentral also lists the same sequence under 1 other name.